Molecule: unclassified non-coding RNA, 326 nt
Filed under: soil metagenome
Description: partial contains 5.8S ribosomal RNA, internal transcribed spacer 2, and large subunit ribosomal RNA
Rfam family: 5.8S ribosomal RNA (bases 1-120)
Source: RNAcentral
GAUGAAGAACGUAGCGAAAUGCGAUAAGUAAUGUGAAUUGCAGAAUUCAGUGAAUCAUCGAAUCUUUGAACGCACAUUGCGCCCCUUGGUAUUCCGAGGGGCAUGCCUGUUCGAGCGUCAUAUUAACCACUCCCGCUUGCGGGGUCUUGGGCUUCGCCUCCGGGCGGGCCUUAAAAUCAGUGGCGGUGCCGUCGGGCUCUACGCGUAGUAAAUUUUCUCGCGAUAGGGUCCCGGUGGAUGCUUGCCAACAACCCCCAACUUCUCAAGGUUGACCUCGGAUCAGGUAGGGAUACCCGCUGAACUUAAGCAUAUCAAUAAGCGGAGGA